RNAcentral lists this ribosomal RNA (253 nucleotides) under uncultured bacterium. RNAcentral describes it as "partial 16S ribosomal RNA". It matches the Rfam family "Bacterial small subunit ribosomal RNA", at positions 524 to 776 of the family's 1533-position model. The record is from RNAcentral.
UACGGAGGGUGCAACCGUUGCUCGGAAUCAUUGGGCGUAAAGCGCACGUAGGCGGACCGCUAAGUCGGAUGUGAAAGCCCUCGGCUUAACCGAGGAAGUGCAUUCGAAACUGACGGUCUUGAGUAUGGAAGAGGGUCGCGGAAUUCCCGGUGUAGAGGUGAAAUUCGUAGAUAUCGGGAGGAACACCAGUGGCGAAGGCGGCGACCUGGGCCAAUACUGACGCUGAGGUGCGAAAGCGUGGGGAGCAAACAGG